UAUUCACAGUUCAAAGGUUCAAGCCAAGCCAAUCCCGUUUCUUUCUUCACCAGAGAAAAUUCAAUAACCUAAUGCUAAAAGAUAAAAAGUAGAGAUAGUGAGAAAGAGUGAUAAUGGCAGCAGCAUUAGCAGCCACGUGUUGCCAUGGAUCCUUGCUAACGUCAUCCUCGUCCAAAGUGGAACAACAGUAUUAUCGGCAGACCACGCCGCCGCCGUCGGCAUUACACAGCAGCAGAAAAUUGAAAAGCGAGAAAAUGGUGGGUGGGUUUAAUCGCGAUGUGAAAUGCGGCGUUGGAAUCGGCGAUUUCAUCGGUGGAGAUUUGUUAAAGUUAGAUUUAGGGAAAUGGUUAUCGGACGUAGAAGAACACAAGGCGUUGGCGAUUUACAGUCCCCACGAAGGUGGGUAUGAAGGAAGAUAUCUUAAUCGCUUGAGAUAUCAAGGUUACCAUUUCCUAGACCUCUCUGCUCGUGGCCUCGGCGAUCCUGAAACCACUCUCACAAAACUCCACCCUGUUUGUCCUGCUCACAUUGGGAAGGAGCCAAUUGCAAGAUGGUAUUUCCCACCUGAAGUUGAUUACAGGCUUUCAAUGUUGCCUCCUGACGCCAAGGGGCUUAUUCUCUGGGUUAUUGAAGCAAAGUUCAAUUUAAUAGGUGUUGUCCAAGGCUGAGUUACAGUUUCUUGCAAUCCUUCCUUCUCUUCGGCCGAGAGUAAGGGUCAUUGCCGAAUGUGGAAAUUGGAGGAAGUUCUUAUGGAAGCCUCUCAAAGAAAUUGCAGGUUUGACCCCAAUUGUGGAUUGAUUAUAAAUAUAAUAAUGUUCUUCAAGAUCGAGAUUCAUCUAUUGCAUAAUGUUAUGUUAAUGUUAAAACAUUCAUCUUGUAAUAUCAAAUUGUAUAGAAAGAACAGAAGCCAAUUGGAGUUGAUUGAGUGUUGGUUUCUUUAUGCC
This is an RNA transcript of Impatiens glandulifera, 944 nucleotides long. It is a transcript of the gene named NAD(P)H-quinone oxidoreductase subunit N, chloroplastic, with no coding region annotated. The record is from RefSeq and is a predicted model, not a curated record. NCBI's taxonomy places the organism in Eukaryota, Viridiplantae, Streptophyta, Magnoliopsida, Ericales, Balsaminaceae. The transcript is spliced from 4 exons.